CGCAAUGGGCGAAAGCCUGACGGAGCGACGUCGCGUGGUUGAUGAAGUCUUUCGGGAUGUAAAAACCUUUUAUGAGGGAGAAAGUUAUUGAUAGUACCUCAUGAAUAAGGGGUUGCUAAACUCGUGCCAGCAGCAGCGGUAAUACGAGUGCCCCGAGCGUUAUCCGGAAUUAUUGGGUGUAAAGGGUGCGUAGGUGGUCUUAUUAGUCUAGUGUUAAAACCUGGGGCUCAACUCCAGAUCUGCACCGGAAACGGUAAGGCUAGAGGGUGUGAGAGGUCUGUGGAACUCAUGGUGUAGGGGUGAAAUCCGUUGAUAUCAUGGGGAACACCAAAAGCGAAGGCAGCAGACUGGCACAUUCCUGACACUGAGGCACGAAAGCGUAGGUA
Molecule: ribosomal RNA, 386 nt
Filed under: uncultured organism
Description: bacterial SSU rRNA
Rfam family: Bacterial small subunit ribosomal RNA
Source: RNAcentral